This is a long non-coding RNA of Cyprinodon variegatus (sheepshead minnow), 458 nucleotides long. RefSeq lists it as uncharacterized. The transcript is spliced from 4 exons. Lineage: Eukaryota; Metazoa; Chordata; Actinopteri; Cyprinodontiformes; Cyprinodontidae. The record is from RefSeq and is a predicted model, not a curated record.
GAAGAAUCUCUGAGAAGAGGAAGAGAGGAGUAGAAAAAGGUCUGCCUCCUGGUCAUGUCUGUGUCUGUCUGUGCGGAGGGGAGGAGACACACCGUGCUUGGAGAAAAAACCAUAUCAGACAACAAGAUUUGAGGAAAAGUUGCUGCAUCUCAAAUCUAAACUAAGGCUGCUGCCCCCACAGGUCCAACAUUCAGCGAAUGUCUACAUCAACAUGACCAGCGUCAACUCUCCAGCCAGCCUGCUCGCCCGCAACCACUUCUACAGAAGUUUGCUCUCAAGUCCAGAAGGGAUUAAAUCCACAUUCAGCUGUCAGAACGACUCAGCCAUGCACCACCAAAAACAGGUCAACCUUUGGAUCAGCAUGGGAGCUGCUCCUGGUAAAAAAAACCCAGACACAUUUAGAGCACACUGCUUUAAUGAGAUACAUACAGUACAUGGAUACAUACAUACGGUACAUA